GUCGAGGGCGUGACUUUGGCCCCUGGGGCUGAAGGAUGCAGGGGCAGGAGGGAGCUGGACUUAGAAACCUGAGACUUCCUGGGCUCCGUUUCCCCGUCUGUGAAGCGUGGGAGCCGGACUCCAUCCCUAAGGUCCUCCGGGCUCUGAUUCAGAGCAACACUCUCAGAAGAUACAGACACAUAAUUCCGGGGGUUCCUGGGCGCUCCUGAGCCUGGGGUGAAGGCCCUCAGUCCACACGGCUCUUCUUCCGUCCCGACUGCACCGAGCUCACCCAAAGUGCCUGCUGUUGGCUGCUUGUUACGGAAACUGCCUUGGUAAUUACUCGAGACGGGUGGUAACUGGACUUGCAGUAAUCACAUCGCGAUAGCAUGUCGAGCACCACACCCGCGGGCCCUCGCCAGCCCGACUCCGAGACGCCUGCAGGCGGCCCACCCUGCAUGCUCCUGGAUGUGAUCAGGAAAAGCUUCGGACAGAAAAGGUGAAUUAGAGUUUCUGUACCCCACUCCCCACGCCUUUCUGUGGGAUUUGUAUAAUGCUUUUGUAAAAAGCAGAAAAACAAGAGACAGCACGCAGGAGUGGGGGAAUACUUGUAUCUUCACCUCUAGGAACUACUACUGUUUCUAAAAAAGUGCUAAUCUUAGUGCAUUUCAAACUUUUUGGUAGUGGAACCCCUCCUCCCCCCAUGAAAUCUUAUGUGAAACCACAUCUAAACAAAUAAAAGCUGAAUUUUUGAUAAAUUUA
Miniopterus natalensis is the source of this 741-nucleotide non-coding RNA. Lineage: Eukaryota; Metazoa; Chordata; Mammalia; Chiroptera; Miniopteridae. The record is from RefSeq and is a predicted model, not a curated record.